RNAcentral lists this ribosomal RNA (706 nucleotides) under uncultured bacterium. RNAcentral describes it as "bacterial SSU rRNA". It matches the Rfam family "Bacterial small subunit ribosomal RNA", at positions 63 to 743 of the family's 1533-position model. The record is from RNAcentral.
CUUGAAGAUCGGAGUGCUUGCACUCUGUGAAACAAGAUACAGGCUAGCGGCGGACGGGUGAGUAACACGUGGGUAACCUGCCCAAGAGAUCGGGAUAACACCUGGAAACAGAUGCUAAUACCGGAUAAUAACAGAUGAUGCCUAUCAACUGUUUAAAAGAUGGUUCUGCUAUCACUCUUGAUGGACCUGCGGUGCAUUAGCUAGUUGGUAGGGUAACGGCCUACCAAGGCGAUGAUGCAUAGCCGAGUUGAGAGACUGAUCGGCCACAUUGGGACUGAGACACGGCCCAAACUCCUACGGGAGGCAGCAGUAGGGAAUCUUCCACAAUGGACGCAAGUCUGAUGGAGCAACGCCGCGUGAGUGAAGAAGGGUUUCGGCUCGUAAAGCUCUGUUGUUGGUGAAGAAGGACAGGGGUAGUAACUGACCUUUGUUUGACGGUAAUCAAUUAGAAAGUCACGGCUAACUACGUGCCAGCAGCCGCGGUAAUACGUAGGUGGCAAGCGUUGUCCGGAUUUAUUGGGCGUAAAGCGAGUGCAGGCGGUUCGAUAAGUCUGAUGUGAAAGCCUUCGGCUCAACCGGAGAAUUGCAUCAGAAACUGUCGAGCUUGAGUACAGAAGAGGAGAGUGGAACUCCAUGUGUAGCGGUGAAAUGCGUAGAUAUAUGGAAGAACACCGGUGGCGAAGGCGGCUCUCUGGUCUGUUACUGA